UGAUUCGUAAUGUAAUUUGGUUAGCAUACAAGAUUUUGACUCUUGUAGUUCAAGUUCGAGUCUUGGCGAAUCAA
Molecule: transfer RNA, 74 nt
Filed under: Cloacibacterium sp.
Lineage: Bacteria; Pseudomonadati; Bacteroidota; Flavobacteriia; Flavobacteriales; Weeksellaceae
Description: tRNA-Gln
Rfam family: tRNA
About the family: Transfer RNA (tRNA) molecules are approximately 80 nucleotides in length. Their secondary structure includes four short double-helical elements and three loops (D, anti-codon, and T loops).
Source: RNAcentral